CCUACGGGAGGCAGCAGUGGGGGAUAUUGCACAAUGGGGGAAAGCCUGAUGCAGCGACGCCGCGAGAGGGAAGAAGGAUCUAGGGAUGGAAAGCUCUAUCAGCAGGGAAGAAAAAUACAGUACGUGACCGAGAAGCCACGUCUAACUACGUGCCAGCAGCGGCGGUAAUACGGAGGGGGCAAGCGUUAUCCGGAGUUACUGGGGGUAAAGGGGGCGUAGACGGUUAUGUAAGUCCGGAGUGAAAGCCCGAGGCUCAACCUCGGGACUGCUUUGGAAACUGUGUAUCUUGAGUACAGGAGGGGCAGGCGGAAUUCGUGGUGUAGCGGUGAAAUGCUUAGAUAUCAGGAGGAACUCCGGUGGCGAAGGCGGCCUGCUGGACUGCAACUGACGUUGAGGCUCGAAAGCGUGGGGAGCAAACAGGAUUAGAUACCCUAGUAGUC
Molecule: ribosomal RNA, 440 nt
Filed under: uncultured bacterium
Lineage: Bacteria
Description: partial 16S ribosomal RNA
Rfam family: Bacterial small subunit ribosomal RNA
Source: RNAcentral